RNAcentral lists this ribosomal RNA (253 nucleotides) under uncultured bacterium. RNAcentral describes it as "partial 16S ribosomal RNA". It matches the Rfam family "Bacterial small subunit ribosomal RNA", at positions 524 to 776 of the family's 1533-position model. The record is from RNAcentral.
UACAGAGGGUGCGAGCGUUAAUCGGAAUUACUGGGCGUAAAGCGUGCGUAGACGGUUAUUUAAGUCGGAUGUGAAAGCCCCGGGCUCAACCUGGGAAUUGCAUUCGAGACUGAAUAGCUAGGGUGCGGUAGAGGGAAGCGGAAUUUCCGGUGUAGCGGUGAAAUGCGUAGAUAUCGGAAGGAACAUCAGUGGCGAAAGCGACUUCCUGGACCAGUACCGACGUUCAGGCACGAAAGCGUGGGGAGCAAACAGG